GUAGGGCGCAAGCGUUAUCCGGAAUUAUUGGGCGUAAAGAGCUCGUAGGCGGUUUGUCGCGUCUGCUGUGAAAUCCCGAGGCUCAACCUCGGGUCUGCAGUGGGUACGGGCAGACUAGAGUGCGGUAGGGGAGAUUGGAAUUCCUGGUGUAGCGGUGGAAUGCGCAGAUAUCAGGAGGAACACCGAUGGCGAAGGCAGAUCUCUGGGCCGUAACUGACGCUGAGGAGCGAAAGGGUGGGGAGCAAACAGGCUUAGAUACCCUGGUAGUCCACCCCAUAAACGUUGGGAACUAGUUGUGGGGUCCUUUCCACGGAUUCCGUGACGCAGCUAACGCAUUAAGUUCCCCGCCUGGGGAGUACGGCCGCAAGGCUA
This 372-nucleotide ribosomal RNA is filed under the name uncultured bacterium. RNAcentral's name for it is "bacterial SSU rRNA". It matches the Rfam family "Bacterial small subunit ribosomal RNA", at positions 527 to 896 of the family's 1533-position model. The record is from RNAcentral.